Molecule: ribosomal RNA, 489 nt
Filed under: Brevundimonas sp.
Lineage: Bacteria; Pseudomonadati; Pseudomonadota; Alphaproteobacteria; Caulobacterales; Caulobacteraceae
Description: bacterial SSU rRNA
Rfam family: Bacterial small subunit ribosomal RNA
Source: RNAcentral
GAAACUUGAGCUAAUACCGUAUGUGCCCUUCGGGGGAAAGAUUUAUCGCCAUUGGAGCGGCCCGCGUCUGAUUAGCUAGUUGGUGAGGUAAAGGCUCACCAAGGCGACGAUCAGUAGCUGGUCUGAGAGGAUGAUCAGCCACAUUGGGACUGAGACACGGCCCAAACUCCUACGGGAGGCAGCAGUGGGGAAUCUUGCGCAAUGGGCGAAAGCCUGACGCAGCCAUGCCGCGUGAAUGAUGAAGGUCUUAGGAUUGUAAAAUUCUUUCACCGGGGACGAUAAUGACGGUACCCGGAGAAGAAGCCCCGGCUAACUUCGUGCCAGCAGCCGCGGUAAUACGAAGGGGGCUAGCGUUGCUCGGAAUUACUGGGCGUAAAGGGAGCGUAGGCGGACAUUUAAGUCAGGGGUGAAAUCCCGGGGCUCAACCUCGGAAUUGCCUUUGAUACUGGGUGUCUUGAGUAUGAGAGAGGUGUGUGGAACUCCGAGUGU